AUAAUGGUACCCCUGUCCAGCCACAGUCUCAAGCAAUGGGGGCAGCUCGGAGAGAUCCUCGGAGGGGUUAGAUUCCC
RNAcentral lists this non-coding RNA (77 nucleotides) under uncultured Lawsonibacter sp. RNAcentral describes it as "pemK RNA". It matches the Rfam family "pemK RNA". Lineage: Bacteria; Bacillati; Bacillota; Clostridia; Eubacteriales; Oscillospiraceae. The record is from RNAcentral.